GGGCUGGAACCUCUCGGGGUUACAGCCUUGCUGAAUUAUUCACCCUUGUCUUUUGCGUACUUCUUGUUUCCUUGGUGGGUUCGCCCACCACUAGGACAAACAUAAACCUUUUGUAAUUGCAAUCAGCGUCAGUAACAAAUUAAUAAUUACAACUUUCAACAACGGAUCUCUUGGUUCUGGCAUCGAUGAAGAACGCAGCGAAAUGCGAUAAGUAGUGUGAAUUGCAGAAUUCAGUGAAUCAUCGAAUCUUUGAACGCACAUUGCGCCCUUUGGUAUUCCAAAGGGCAUGCCUGUUCGAGCGUCAUUUGUACCCUCAAGCUUUGCUUGGUGUUGGGCGUCUUGUCUCUAGCUUUGCUGGAGACUCGCCUUAAAGUAAUUGGCAGCCGGCCUACUGGUUUCGGAGCGCAGCACAAGUCGCACUCUCUAUCAGCAAAGGUCUAGCAUCCAUUAAGCCUUUUUUUCAACUUUUGACCUCGGAUCAGGUA
Molecule: ribosomal RNA, 485 nt
Filed under: Alternaria alternata
Lineage: Eukaryota; Fungi; Ascomycota; Dothideomycetes; Pleosporales; Pleosporaceae
Description: eukaryotic LSU rRNA
Rfam family: 5.8S ribosomal RNA (bases 151-304)
Source: RNAcentral